ACAGAACAUACAUGAAUGCAUCCAACUUAUUUUGGCCAAUGUGGUUGAAAGAAACCCAUAUUUCUGAUAUAAAAAACUUUGAAAACGGUUAGGGUUAGGAGGUC
Molecule: long non-coding RNA, 104 nt
Organism: Sander lucioperca (pikeperch)
Lineage: Eukaryota; Metazoa; Chordata; Actinopteri; Perciformes; Percidae
Exons: 3
Source: RefSeq, a predicted model, not a curated record